CCAGAAAGCCACGGCUAACUACGUGCCAGCAGCCGCGGUAAUACGUAGGUGGCAAGCGUUGUCCGGAAUUAUUGGGCGUAAAGGGCUCGCAGGCGGUUUCUUAAGUCUGAUGUGAAAGCCCCCGGCUCAACCGGGGAGGGUCAUUGGAAACUGGGGAACUUGAGUGCAGAAGAGGAGAGUGGAAUUCCACGUGUAGCGGUGAAAUGCGUAGAGAUGUGGAGGAACACCAGUGGCGAAGGCGACUCUCUGGUCUGUAACUGACGCUGAGGAGCGAAAGCGUGGGGAGCGAACAGGAUUAGAUACCCUGGUAGUCCACGCCGUAAACGAUGAGUGCUAAGUGUUAGGGGGUUUCCGCCCCUUAGUGCUGCAGCUAACGCAUUAAGCACUCCGCCUGGGGAGUACGGUCGCAAGACUGAAACUCAAAGGAAUUGACGGGGGCCCGCACAAGCGGUGGAGCAUGUGGUUUAAUUCGAAGCAACGCGAAGAACCUUACCAGGUCUUGACAUCCUUUGACAAUCCUAGAGAUAGGACGUCCCCUUCGGGGGCAGAGUGACAGGUGGUGCAUGGUUGUCGUCAGCUCGUGUCGUGAGAUGUUGGGUUAAGUCCCGCAACGAGCGCAACCCUUGAUCUUAGUUGCCAGCAUUCAGUUGGGCACUCUAAGGUGACUGCCGGUGACAAACCGGAGGAAGGUGGGGAUGACGUCAAAUCAUCAUGCCCCUUAUGACCUGGGCUACACACGUGCUACAAUGGACAGAACAAAGGGCAGCGAAACCGCGAGGUUAAGCCAAUCCCACAAAUCUGUUCUCAGUUCGGAUCGCAGUCUGCAACUCGACUGCGUGAAGCUGGAAUCGAUAGUAAUCGCGGAUCAGC
Molecule: ribosomal RNA, 870 nt
Filed under: Bacillus amyloliquefaciens
Lineage: Bacteria; Bacillati; Bacillota; Bacilli; Caryophanales; Bacillaceae
Description: bacterial SSU rRNA
Rfam family: Bacterial small subunit ribosomal RNA
Source: RNAcentral